Spodoptera frugiperda (fall armyworm) is the source of this 421-nucleotide long non-coding RNA. RefSeq lists it as uncharacterized. The record is from RefSeq and is a predicted model, not a curated record. Lineage: Eukaryota; Metazoa; Arthropoda; Insecta; Lepidoptera; Noctuidae. The transcript is spliced from 2 exons.
UUAUUAUACAAUGUGAUAGGCGUGGGACUUCUAACCCGUUAAGGCUGAGUACUACAUCUAAUUUUAUCGACAAAAAUAAUAAUAUGGGGGGUUGAACCCCUAAUUGAAAAUAUUGAAAAAUAGUGAUUUUUUCGGUUAAAAUAAUUCACAAAUGAUUUUUUUUCUCACCAAAACAUUAUCAAACAUAUGAAAAAAGUAAUGAAUUAGUUAGCCAAGGUUAUUAGGUACCGUUAGUCGUUUUUUUUUUGUUUCUACGACGCAUACAACCUUUGAUAUUAAAAAAAGUAAAAAAAAUAUUAAAAUAGCCAUAACUUUUAGGGGGAGGGGAUUCGACCACUUCGACCCCCGACUUUUGUCGAUAAAAUUAGAUGUAGAACUCAGCCUUAACGGGUUAGAAGUCUCGCCCCUAUCACAUUGUAUA